GCAACGGUAGCACAGUCGUUAGUGCAGUCUGCCGGAAACAGAAAGAGGCGGGUUCAAUUCCCAUCCGAUGUC
This is a non-coding RNA of Nippostrongylus brasiliensis, 72 nucleotides long. The record is from Rfam. Lineage: Eukaryota; Metazoa; Nematoda; Chromadorea; Rhabditida; Heligmosomidae.